This 2925-nucleotide ribosomal RNA is filed under the name Escherichia coli. Its description in RNAcentral is "bacterial LSU rRNA". It matches the Rfam family "Bacterial large subunit ribosomal RNA". The record is from RNAcentral. RNAcentral also lists the same sequence under 1 other name. Lineage: Bacteria; Pseudomonadati; Pseudomonadota; Gammaproteobacteria; Enterobacterales; Enterobacteriaceae.
GGGUUGUGAGGUUAAGCGACUAAGCGUACACGGUGGAUGCCCUGGCAGUCAGAGGCGAUGAAGGACGUGCUAAUCUGCGAUAAGCGUCGGUGAGGUGAUAUGAACCGUUAUAACCGGCGAUUUCCGAAUGGGGAAACCCAGUGUGAUUCGUCACACUAUCAUUAACUGAAUCCAUAGGUUAAUGAGGCGAACCGGGGGAACUGAAACAUCUAAGUACCCCGAGGAAAAGAAAUCAACCGAGAUUCCCCCAGUAGCGGCGAGCGAACGGGGAGGAGCCCAGAGCCUGAAUCAGUGUGUGUGUUAGUGGAAGCGUCUGGAAAGGCGCGCGAUACAGGGUGACAGCCCCGUACACAAAAAUGCACAUAUUGUGAGCUCGAUGAGUAGGGCGGGACACGUGGUAUCCUGUCUGAAUAUGGGGGGACCAUCCUCCAAGGCUAAAUACUCCUGACUGACCGAUAGUGAACCAGUACCGUGAGGGAAAGGCGAAAAGAACCCCGGCGAGGGGAGUGAAAAAGAACCUGAAACCGUGUACGUACAAGCAGUGGGAGCCUCUUCAUGGGGUGACUGCGUACCUUUUGUAUAAUGGGUCAGCGACUUAUAUUCUGUAGCAAGGUUAACCGAAUAGGGGAGCCGAAGGGAAACCGAGUCUUAACUGGGCGUUAAGUUGCAGGGUAUAGACCCGAAACCCGGUGAUCUAGCCAUGGGCAGGUUGAAGGUUGGGUAACACUAACUGGAGGACCGAACCGACUAAUGUUGAAAAAUUAGCGGAUGACUUGUGGCUGGGGGUGAAAGGCCAAUCAAACCGGGAGAUAGCUGGUUCUCCCCGAAAGCUAUUUAGGUAGCGCCUCGUGAAUUCAUCUCCGGGGGUAGAGCACUGUUUCGGCAAGGGGGUCAUCCCGACUUACCAACCCGAUGCAAACUGCGAAUACCGGAGAAUGUUAUCACGGGAGACACACGGCGGGUGCUAACGUCCGUCGUGAAGAGGGAAACAACCCAGACCGCCAGCUAAGGUCCCAAAGUCAUGGUUAAGUGGGAAACGAUGUGGGAAGGCCCAGACAGCCAGGAUGUUGGCUUAGAAGCAGCCAUCAUUUAAAGAAAGCGUAAUAGCUCACUGGUCGAGUCGGCCUGCGCGGAAGAUGUAACGGGGCUAAACCAUGCACCGAAGCUGCGGCAGCGACACUAUGUGUUGUUGGGUAGGGGAGCGUUCUGUAAGCCUGUGAAGGUGGCCUGUGAGGGUUGCUGGAGGUAUCAGAAGUGCGAAUGCUGACAUAAGUAACGAUAAAGCGGGUGAAAAGCCCGCUCGCCGGAAGACCAAGGGUUCCUGUCCAACGUUAAUCGGGGCAGGGUGAGUCGACCCCUAAGGCGAGGCCGAAAGGCGUAGUCGAUGGGAAACAGGUUAAUAUUCCUGUACUUGGUGUUACUGCGAAGGGGGGACGGAGAAGGCUAUGUUGGCCGGGCGACGGUUGUCCCGGUUUAAGCGUGUAGGCUGGUUUUCCAGGCAAAUCCGGAAAAUCAAGGCUGAGGCGUGAUGACGAGGCACUACGGUGCUGAAGCGACAAAUGCCCUGCUUCCAGGAAAAGCCUCUAAGCAUCAGGUAACAUCAAAUCGUACCCCAAACCGACACAGGUGGUCAGGUAGAGAAUACCAAGGCGCUUGAGAGAACUCGGGUGAAGGAACUAGGCAAAAUGGUGCCGUAACUUCGGGAGAAGGCACGCUGAUAUGUAGGUGAAGCGACUUGCUCGUGGAGCUGAAAUCAGUCGAAGAUACCAGCUGGCUGCAACUGUUUAUUAAAAACACAGCACUGUGCAAACACGAAAGUGGACGUAUACGGUGUGACGCCUGCCCGGUGCCGGAAGGUUAAUUGAUGGGGUUAGCGGUAACGCGAAGCUCUUGAUCGAAGCCCCGGUAAACGGCGGCCGUAACUAUAACGGUCCUAAGGUAGCGAAAUUCCUUGUCGGGUAAGUUCCGACCUGCACGAAUGGCGUAAUGAUGGCCAGGCUGUCUCCACCCGAGACUCAGUGAAAUUGAACUCGCUGUGAAGAUGCAGUGUACCCGCGGCAAGACGGAAAGACCCCGUGAACCUUUACUAUAGCUUGACACUGAACAUUGAGCCUUGAUGUGUAGGAUAGGUGGGAGGCUUUGAAGUGUGGACGCCAGUCUGCAUGGAGCCGACCUUGAAAUACCACCCUUUAAUGUUUGAUGUUCUAACGUGGGCCCCUUACCGGGGUUGCGGACAGUGUCUGGUGGGUAGUUUGACUGGGGCGGUCUCCUCCUAAAGAGUAACGGAGGAGCACGAAGGUUGGCUAAUCCUGGUCGGACAUCAGGAGGUUAGUGCAAUGGCAUAAGCCAGCUUGACUGCGAGCGUGACGGCGCGAGCAGGUGCGAAAGCAGGUCAUAGUGAUCCGGUGGUUCUGAAUGGAAGGGCCAUCGCUCAACGGAUAAAAGGUACUCCGGGGAUAACAGGCUGAUACCGCCCAAGAGUUCAUAUCGACGGCGGUGUUUGGCACCUCGAUGUCGGCUCAUCACAUCCUGGGGCUGAAGUAGGUCCCAAGGGUAUGGCUGUUCGCCAUUUAAAGUGGUACGCGAGCUGGGUUUAGAACGUCGUGAGACAGUUCGGUCCCUAUCUGCCGUGGGCGCUGGAGAACUGAGGGGGGCUGCUCCUAGUACGAGAGGACCGGAGUGGACGCAUCACUGGUGUUCGGGUUGUCAUGCCAAUGGCACUGCCCGGUAGCUAAAUGCGGAAGAGAUAAGUGCUGAAAGCAUCUAAGCACGAAACUUGCCCCGAGAUGAGUUCUCCCUGACUCCUUGAGAGUCCUGAAGGAACGUUGAAGACGACGACGUUGAUAGGCCGGGUGUGUAAGCGCAGCGAUGCGUUGAGCUAACCGGUACUAAUGAACCGUGAGGCUUAACCUUACAACGCCGAAG